AUUGAACGCUGGCGGAAUGCUUUACACAUGCAAGUCGAACGGUAGAGGGGGCAACCCCUUGAGAGUGGCGAACGGGUGAGUAAUAUAUCGGAACGUGCCCAGUCGUGGGGGAUAACGUAGUGAAAAUUACGCUAAUACCGCAUACGAUCUAAGGAUGAAAGCGGGGGAUCGCAAGACCUCGCGCGACUGGAGCGGCCGAUAUCAGAUUAGGUAGUUGGUAGGGUAAAGGCCUACCAAGCCAACGAUCUGUAGCUGGUCUGAGAGGACGACCAGCCACACUGGAACUGAGACACGGUCCAGACUCCUACGGGAGGCAGCAGUGGGGAAUUUUGGACAAUGGGCGAAAGCCUGAUCCAGCCAUUCCGCGUGCAGGAUGAAGGCCCUCGGGUUGUAAACUGCUUUUGUACAGAACGAAAAGGUUUCUAUUAAUACUAGGAGCUCAUGACGGUACUGUAAGAAUAAGCACCGGCUAACUACGUGCCAGCAGCCGCGGUAAUACGUAGGGUGCAAGCGUUAAUCGGAAUUACUGGGCGUAAAGCGUGCGCAGGCGGUUAUAUAAGUCAGAUGUGAAAUCCCCGGGCUCAACCUGGGAACUGCAUUUGAGACUGUAUAGCUAGAGUACGGUAGAGGGGGAUGGAAUUCCGCGUGUAGCAGUGAAAUGCGUAGAUAUGCGGAGGAACACCGAUGGCGAAGGC
This 695-nucleotide ribosomal RNA is filed under the name Pseudomonadota bacterium. Its description in RNAcentral is "bacterial SSU rRNA". It matches the Rfam family "Bacterial small subunit ribosomal RNA", at positions 28 to 722 of the family's 1533-position model. Lineage: Bacteria; Pseudomonadati; Pseudomonadota. The record is from RNAcentral.